UACGUAGGGGGCUAGCGUUGUCCGGAAUCAUUGGGCGUAAAGCGCGCGUAGGCGGCCCGGUAAGUCCGCUGUGAAAGUCAAAGGCUCAACCUUUGAAUGUCAGCGGAUACUGCCAGGCUAGAGUCCGGAAGAGGCGAGUGGAACUCCUGGUGUAGCGGUGAAAUGCGUAGAUAUCGGAAGGAACAUCAGUGGCGAAAGCGACUUCCUGGACCAAUACUGACGCUCAUGUGCGAAAGCGUGGGGAGCAAACAGG
RNAcentral lists this ribosomal RNA (253 nucleotides) under uncultured bacterium. RNAcentral describes it as "partial 16S ribosomal RNA". It matches the Rfam family "Bacterial small subunit ribosomal RNA", at positions 524 to 776 of the family's 1533-position model. The record is from RNAcentral.